GUCCACUUAAUGGAGUGCGUUGACAGAAUCAUUAUCACAAGCACUGUACCAUCUCUCAUAGAUAAUAUUGUCUCCUCACUCGCUAAAAGGUUCUCAAUUCAAGACUUUGGUUCCGUUAACCAUAUUAUGAGAGUUGAAGUUCCAUGACGGGUUGGUGAAAUCAUUCACUCCCAAUCAAGCUAUGUCAUGGACCUACUACCUGAAGAAAACAUGGAUAAAUGCACCCAACCAAAACACCUAGGAGCAACAUGGAGAUUUUUUGAACUGAUGAUGGUACACCCCCAACCGAUGCAACUCGUUUUGAUCGUGUAAUUGGUAAACUUCAAUACAUAUUGUAAUACCUAAUUUUAACCCGGGCCCAAAACCAUAAAUACAUAAACACCAAAUUAAAACAAAUUAUAAGUGUCCAGUCCAUUUACAAACCCAAACCCAAUUCGGUCCAAAUUAUGUGGCCCAAAUUACAAUUAACCCCAGUCCAAAUUCCAGACCCAAAAUCUGACCCAACUCAACUAACCCAAAUACCCACUAAACCCAAUUAAACCCUAGCCCAAUUUGAGAUGGCCUAAAUUCAAGUUUCCAGAAACCCUAGGGGUUUUUGGAACAGUCGGCGCCGCUGAACGCGGAAACCAGGCCCUCCACGCAUGCGCUUCCUCCCUUCCACGGCCUCUGCACCUGCGAAUAAAGUGGAGCCAAGCAGUGAAUAUACCAAUACAGCGCAACAAUAACAGAAAUAUAGGAAAUAGUUGCGGAAAGAUAACAAAAAUGUAAAAAAGAGUUCUCGAGAAUUACGUUUUCUUUCUGUUUCGGCUAUAAGAGGACCCGAUUAAAUUUGUAAAAGGGGGGAUUCCCGAAUGAAUGAAAAAAAAAGAGAAAAGAAUACAGAUAUUAAGAAAGGAAAUUGAAUAGCAGUUUUGGAAAAGAAGUGAUUUUCUGAUUGUUUUUUCUUUUCUUUGUUUUUUUUUUCCUUUUUUGCAAAACAAAAAGAGCAAAAGGGGAUAUACUUACCUGCGCGGAGGCGACGACGGAGCCCUAUUUGCUCCGUCCAGGUCGGAGCUAGAUGGGGCUUCGAAUUGUUUGAGGCGGCAGACAAGAGAAUGGGCCAUGGGGCUGCUGUUGUUUCAGAAGAAAAGGGAAAUGGCUUAGGGUUUCCUGAUUCAGGGUUUAAAAUAGCAUUUAUAGGUGCUCGAAACGGCACCGUUUAGGGCCAGAUUCAGUGGCUCCAAAACGGUGCCGUACAGGCCGUUGACCCGAGAUCCGACCCGAACCAAGGCCAGAUCCGCGCGUUUCAUCCUAGUGGGCUAUUUUUGCUUUUAAUCCUACUAAUUUGUUCCAUUGUUUUAAUUUGGUUUUUCUUUAUUUUCUGAAUUUGC
This 1370-nucleotide long non-coding RNA is filed under the name Gossypium raimondii (Peruvian cotton). RNAcentral's name for it is "long non-coding RNA (GRAI_LNC009992)". Lineage: Eukaryota; Viridiplantae; Streptophyta; Magnoliopsida; Malvales; Malvaceae. The record is from RNAcentral.